CCUACGGGUGGCUGCAGUGGGGAAUAUUGGACAAUGGGCGAAAGCCUGAUCCAGCCAUGCCGCGUGUGUGAAGAAGGCCUUCGGGUUGUAAAGCACUUUCAGUGGGGAAGAAAGCCUUGGGGCUAAUACCCUCGAGGAAGGACAUCACCCGCAGAAGAAGCACCGGCUAACUCCGUGCCAGCAGCCGCGGUAAUACGGAGGGUGCGAGCGUUAAUCGGAAUUACUGGGCGUAAAGCGCGCGUAGGCGGUCUGAUAAGCCGGUUGUGAAAGCCCCGGGCUCAACCUGGGAACGGCAUCCGGAACUGUCAGGCUAGAGUGCAGGAGAGGAAGGUAGAAUUCCCGGUGUAGCAGUGAAAUGCGUAGAGAUCGGGAGGAAUACCAGUGGCGAAGGCGGCCUUCUGGACUGACACUGACGCUGAGGUGCGAAAGCGUGGGUAGCAAACAGGAUUAGAUACCCGUGUAGUC
RNAcentral lists this ribosomal RNA (465 nucleotides) under Vreelandella stevensii. RNAcentral describes it as "partial 16S ribosomal RNA". It matches the Rfam family "Bacterial small subunit ribosomal RNA", at positions 338 to 795 of the family's 1533-position model. Lineage: Bacteria; Pseudomonadati; Pseudomonadota; Gammaproteobacteria; Oceanospirillales; Halomonadaceae. The record is from RNAcentral.